GCAAAUUCCAAAUUUCACUAUCUCUCACAUUUUCCCACUCUCUUUCUUCUCUCUUGAAGAGCAAAAUACCUCCAAGAGUCGUGGCUGCUAGAGGCACACCACCACAUUUUUUCACAAUCUCCUUUCCGAUAGCCACAAGGUUAGGAUUUAUUUCUUCCUGAUGUCCAAAUGCACAUUGUAUGAACAACAACCAACAAUCUUCUUGAGACAGAUUUGACAAUUCAUAUGGUUGCAAAGUUCCCAUAAUUGAUCCAACCUUUUCAAGACGAGUA
Long non-coding RNA from Solanum stenotomum, 272 nucleotides. RefSeq lists it as uncharacterized. The transcript has 2 exons. The record is from RefSeq and is a predicted model, not a curated record. NCBI's taxonomy places the organism in Eukaryota, Viridiplantae, Streptophyta, Magnoliopsida, Solanales, Solanaceae.